UUAUCAUUUAGAGGAAGGAGAAGUCGUAACAAGGUUUCCGUAGGUGAACCUGCGGAAGGAUCAUUGUCGAAUCCUGCGAGGACAGACCGGCGAAUCCGUUCAGAAGACGGGAGGCGGGGGCGGGUUCGUCCCGCACUCGCAACCCCCGCAUCGGCGGCCGGACGCCGCCUAACAAGCGCGGGACGCGCCAAGGACCCCUCACAGCGGACGCCUCGCCCGUGCAUCGGCCCAUCGGCGGAGCCAGGCGAGGGGCGCCGGUUGAAUAAAAAAUGACUCUCGGCAACGGAUAUCUAGGCUCUCGCAUCGAUGAAGAACGUAGCAAACUGCGAUGCUUGGUGUGAAUUGCAGAAUCCCGCGAACCAUCGAGUUUUUGAACGCAAGUUGCGCCCGAAGCCACUAGGCCGAGGGCACGCCUGCCUGGGCGUCGCGUCACGCAUCGCGUCGCCCUCCCCUCUCCCGUCAGCCUCUCUGGGGCUCGGCAGGAAUGCGGGAGGGCGGAGACUGGCCUCCCGCGCCCCUCGCGCGGCCGGCAGAAACACGAAUCCGCCGUGCCGGACGUUGCGACCAUCGGUGGUACUCACCCAAGGCCAGAACCCAGGUACCGCGCCGCGCCGGCUGGAGCUCCCACGACCCGCGAGCGAGAGGCCCCCGACGCCGGGCGGCAACGCAGCAACGCCGACCCCAGGUCAGGCGGGAUCACCCGCUGAGUUUAAGCAUAU
Molecule: unclassified non-coding RNA, 719 nt
Filed under: Allamanda schottii
Lineage: Eukaryota; Viridiplantae; Streptophyta; Magnoliopsida; Gentianales; Apocynaceae
Description: partial contains small subunit ribosomal RNA, internal transcribed spacer 1, 5.8S ribosomal RNA, internal transcribed spacer 2, and large subunit ribosomal RNA
Rfam family: 5.8S ribosomal RNA (bases 272-427)
Source: RNAcentral